This 1745-nucleotide long non-coding RNA is filed under the name Exaiptasia diaphana. RNAcentral describes it as "uncharacterized LOC110254523". Lineage: Eukaryota; Metazoa; Cnidaria; Anthozoa; Actiniaria; Aiptasiidae. The record is from RNAcentral.
GCGGAAAAACGACUACGCAUGCGCGGCUCUAGCUAAAUCCAAGAUGGCGGCCGGUAAACUGCUGAAAAGUGCUCUAUGGAAAAAUUACUUUUAAACCGCCAAAAAUGUUUUGUCUGUGGUCGGGAAUCCUCCUGGAAGCUUCUUAGACAUAUGUCUUUCGGAGUGAGUAGUCUUUUCGAAGACAUUUUAUCGACUUCGCCAAAAAUAUCGCGUUCUAUUUCGGUGUUUUGAUCGCAUUCUUCCCCGUCUGCCGAUCCGUUGACAACACAUCGAAAAUCGUCUUUUUUAAGGAGCUGUUUAAGUUUAUAAGCUUCAUUUUUUACCAAAAGAAACUUAGAUAUAUGCUCUACAAUAUAUCAAAAAUGAUUUUUAAAUCUCGAAUAUGAAUUUUCACAAUUUACAUUUGAACUCGACAAUGCACUUGAUAUCAUGUGAUAUCGCUUCAGAUAUACUUACUGUUCGACCACGUUACUCUUCUGCUACUUUUCGAUGGAAUCGAUUUUUUAGGGAUAUCUUGAAUUCGGUGGAUGAAUAAAACGAUGAACUCUUUGGAGUGCUUGGCAUAUCGUCUUCGUCAUUAUCAUCAUCAGGAUCCUCAUCGUCACCAUCAUCAAGGUUGUCGUCGUUCUUUUCUAGAAGCCCAAUAUUGAAAGUAGUAGAAACUGUGGAGAUUUUAGACAAUAGGUUUGGCAAACACACUGGACAACUUCCAUCAGGCAUGCAGUGGAUAUGAAAUGAGUGACCACAAGUUAACAGUCGACAAUAGUCAUGGUCUUGGACUACACAAUUGUUUGCAUCACAAAGCUUUUCAGGAUCUGGUUGAUCCUUAUCCCAGGCAUAGCCAAGGGGAAGACUCCUCUGGUCAACAGUAGCAUCAAUUGUAGCUUAAUUGCCUACCUGAGCAAUCAUCUUUUUCUGGAAGUACCAGGUUGGCCAGUCUCCAGUUGUAUACAAAGCAAAAUUCUUCAUAUAUUCUUGCAUCUGAGGCACCAAAGCCACAUGGCAUACUGCUUCCUUGUGUUCUGCACACUGUUGUGCAUUUCUCAUUUCAAAUUGUGCAAACUGCUGAGGGAGGCUUGAUUGAAAGAAGGUUGAGAAGAGACUAAUACACUUAUUGGAAAACAGCUGCUGUAUGGAGACAAUAUCAAUUCCUCCUCUACAUUGCUGGUUCUUUACAAGCACAUUUGUAUGCAGAUUUGUAGUCAAGGGUAUUGCAUUGAUUUUUUGGUGAAUAUCAACAAUCUCUGUGGCCAUAUGAAUUGCUUUGCUAGUUUGUGAUGCUUUUGGAUCUUGGAUGGUGUGCACAGCAUGAAAGUCAUCAAUUACCAUUAAUAUGAACUUCUUGUUCUAUAAAGAUUGGUGUACCAAAGUUAUAAAUAACGAUAUUGCAUUCAUAAAUGAGAGUAGAAUGCACACGAUACAUAAAAAUGAAGAAGUACUAGUAAGCAUAAUUAUAACACUGUUUUUCAAUCCUUGUUUUUUGCAGAUUAAUUAUUGCAUGCACCCUGAUAUUUUUGCAUAAUGUAAUGUUGAUAUUAUAUUAGAUAUCUUACCCUAAAUGCUUUAUCAAUUUCUUCCUUAGUUAAAUGUAAACUUGCAGUGCUCAAUUCCUUUUUGCGAUUCUGCACUGUUCGGGGAUGAGCAGAAAAUCCCAUUUGCAUUCCAGCCAUCAAGGCUUGUUGAGAUGCCCCAUGAGUUGACAAGUGAACACCACAGUCCAGCUGUAGCUUGUUGUUUUUCUAAAU